RNAcentral lists this ribosomal RNA (253 nucleotides) under uncultured bacterium. Its description in RNAcentral is "partial 16S ribosomal RNA". It matches the Rfam family "Bacterial small subunit ribosomal RNA", at positions 524 to 776 of the family's 1533-position model. The record is from RNAcentral.
UACGUAGGGUGCAAGCGUUAAUCGGAAUUACUGGGCGUAAAGCGGGCGCAGGCGGUUUUGCAAGACAGAUGUGAAAUCCCCGGGCUCAACCUGGGAACUGCAUUUGUGACUGCAAGGCUAGAGUACGGCAGAGGGGGAUGGAAUUCCGCGUGUAGCAGUGAAAUGCGUAGAUAUGCGGAGGAACACCAAUGGCGAAGGCAAUCCCCUGGGCCUGUACUGACGCUCAUGCACGAAAGCGUGGGGAGCAAACAGG